CAAAUUUUAAAUCUACCUGGUUUCCAGGUCGAGUUGUAAUUUGAAGAAGUGUUUUUUACUUUCCGGGUUGGGUUAAAUCCUUUGGGAUAAGGUAUCAUGGAGGGUGAGAAUCCCGUGUAUACCAACCGCAGGAUYGUUUAAUAUACACUUUCUAAGAGUCGAGUUGUUUGGGAAUGCAGCUCUAAAUGGGUGGUAAAUUUCACCUAAUGCUAAAUAUAAGCGAGAGACCGAUAGCGAACAAGUACCGUGAGGGAAAGAUGAAAAGAACUUUGAAAAGAGAGUUAAAUAGUACGUGAAAUUGUUGAAAGGGAAACGGUURAAGUCAGUCAUGCCGGCGGGAAUCAACUUAGGGGAAACUCUGAGUGCACUUCUUCGCYUGGCAGGUUAGCGUCGAUUUUGGAUGUCAUAAAAUGACUGGGGGAAGGUAGCUCUUUCGGGAGUGUUAAGCCCUURGUAGAUGUGAUGUCYGGGAUCGAGGAUUGCAACGGAUACCYUUUGGGCUARCCGCCUAGUCUCUAAUACGAAGUUGGGUUAUGGACAGCACGCUGACUGUGAUCUGAUUUUCGGUUAAAA
This 573-nucleotide ribosomal RNA is filed under the name Glomeromycotina sp. Its description in RNAcentral is "eukaryotic LSU rRNA". It matches the Rfam family "Eukaryotic large subunit ribosomal RNA", at positions 110 to 618 of the family's 3401-position model. Lineage: Eukaryota; Fungi; Glomeromycota. The record is from RNAcentral.